RNAcentral lists this ribosomal RNA (744 nucleotides) under uncultured bacterium. RNAcentral describes it as "bacterial SSU rRNA". It matches the Rfam family "Bacterial small subunit ribosomal RNA", at positions 8 to 796 of the family's 1533-position model. The record is from RNAcentral.
AGAGUUUGAUCAUGGCUCAGAGCGAACGCUGGCGGCAGGCCUAACACAUGCAAGUCGAGCGGCCGUAGCAAUACGGCAGCGGCAGACGGGAGAGUAACACGUGGGAACGCGCCCUUCGGUUCGGGAUAACUCAGGGAAACUUGGGCUAAUACCGGAUACGCCCUUACGGGGAAAGAUUUAUUGCCGAAGGAACGGCCCGCGUCCGAUUAGCUUGUUGGUGAGGUAACGGCUCACCAAGGCGACGAUCGGUAGCUGGUCUGAGAGGAUGACCAGCCUCACUGGGACUGAGACACGGCCCAGACUCCUACGGGAGGCAGCAGUGGGGAAUAUUGGACAAUGGGCGCAAGCCUGAUCCAGCCAUGCCUCGUGGGUGAUGAAGGCCCUAGGGUUGUAAAGCCCUUUCGGCGGGGAAGAUAAUGACGGUACCCGCAGAAGAAGCCCCGGCUAACUUCGUGCCAGCAGCCGCGGUAAUACGAAGGGGGCUAGCGUUGCUCGGAAUUACUGGGCGUAAAGCGCACGUAGGCGGCUUCUUAAGUCGGUGGUGAAAUCCUGGAGCUCAACUCCAGAACUGCCUUCGAUACUGGGAAGCUCGAGUCCGGGAGAGGUGAGUGGAACUGCGAGUGUAGAGGUGAAAUUCGUAGAUAUUCGCAAGAACACCAGUGGCGAAGGCGGCUCACUGGCCCGGUACUGACGCUGAGGUGCGAAAGCGUGGGGAGCAAACAGGAUUAGAUACCCUAGUAGUCC